AUCAACUACAACAUCAAUAAUAAUAAGAGUGAUUCUAGUGAUUGUUGAGGUGUCAGUGUUUGCUGCUCCUACUGUCAUUCUUCUUCAGAUCAUCUGUGCAGGAAGAGCGCAAAACAGAAGAAGGACUCAGAACGCUCAUCCAGAAGACACAGUGAUGUCAGCAGUUUAGGAAUAAAAUCUCAAGGGCACCUCAGUCGUUAGCCGUCGGCCCUAAGAAUUGAACCUGCAACCUUCUGGUCACAAGUCAGACUCUCUAACCAUUAAACCACGACUGUCUGUAAUAUCUUCCUUUCACUAUUAAUGUCAUAGUUCAUCCCCAGAUGAAACAUCUUUCAUCAUUUACUCACCUUCAGUAACCUGUAUUUUUUCCUUUGUACACAAAAGAAGAUAUUUUGAAGAAUGUGGGGAAGUAAACAGUUCUGGGUCACCAUUGACUAUAGUAAUCUUUUGUUUGGUUAAACACAUUCUUCCAAAUUCUGUCUUUGUGUUCAGCAGAACAAAGUAUUUUACACAGGUUUGAAACAUCUUGAGGGUGAGUAAGUGAUGACAGAAUUGUAAUUUUUUCGUGAACUAUUACUUUAAAUAUGUCAACAGAGUCUGACGGUUUGUGUAACUGCAUGUGUGUUACUGCAUUUGUGUAGCGUAGUUAAAUUGUGUGUUGAUUUAUAUCUGUUAAUUCUGGCUUUAACAUGUUUUGAUUUUGCAUAAUUCCUGAAUAAAAUGUCUGAUAAUGA
Molecule: long non-coding RNA, 734 nt
Organism: Triplophysa dalaica
Lineage: Eukaryota; Metazoa; Chordata; Actinopteri; Cypriniformes; Nemacheilidae
Exons: 3
Source: RefSeq, a predicted model, not a curated record